AUGAACGCUGGCGGCGUGCCUAAUACAUUCCAGUCGAGCGAACAGACGAGGAGCUUGCUCCUCUGACGUUAGCGGCGGACGGGUGAGUAACACGUGGAUAACCUACCUAUAAGACAGGGAUAACUUCGGGAAACCGGAGCUAAUCCCGGAUAAUAUAUUGAACCGCAUGGUUCAAUAGUGAAAGACGGUUUUGCUGUCACUUAUAGAUGGAUCCGCGCCGCAUUAGCUAGUUGGUAAGGUAACGGCUUACCAAGGCAACGAUGCGUAGCCGACCUGAGAGGGUGAUCGGCCACACUGGAACUGAGACACGGUCCAGACUCCUACGGGAGGCAGCAGUAGGGAAUCUUCCGCAAUGGGCGAAAGCCUGACGGAGCAACGCCGCGUGAGUGAUGAAGGUCUUCGGAUCGUAAAACUCUGUUAUUAGGGAAGAACAAAUGUGUAAGUAACUAUGCACGUCUUGACGGUACCUAAUCAGAAAGCCACGGCUAACUACGUG
RNAcentral lists this ribosomal RNA (496 nucleotides) under uncultured bacterium. RNAcentral describes it as "partial 16S ribosomal RNA". It matches the Rfam family "Bacterial small subunit ribosomal RNA", at positions 29 to 507 of the family's 1533-position model. The record is from RNAcentral.